UCAAAUUGAAGCAACCUCAGAUGACAUGCAUGAAUCCAGCACACUUCAUUUCCUUUUCCAAAUUCUGGGGGAGCCGCUGGUGCACUGCAUUCAAGACAUUCGACAGGUUUCUACUUCGUUUCAAUGGCUAUACAAAUCUGUGAUGAGGUGGAUCUCUAUGGAUUCUGGCCAUUUUUUUCUCGA
Molecule: long non-coding RNA, 183 nt
Organism: Lytechinus variegatus (green sea urchin)
Lineage: Eukaryota; Metazoa; Echinodermata; Echinoidea; Temnopleuroida; Toxopneustidae
Exons: 2
Source: RefSeq, a predicted model, not a curated record